UGGAGAGCGGCAGGCGGUCCUCGAGCCGGGACACCGCUGGGGUCGGCCCGCAGGCGCAGCCCCUCCAGCUCCAGCUGGUAAAACCUGGAGUGAAUGAAACUGUUUGCAAGCUCUAAUCAUAUCACUCACUGGGCAUGCCCAGUGGGCAUUGCUGGCUUUGGUGACAAAGGAGUUAAGGCUAAGUGAACUUGCAGAAUUGGGAGUAGAGAAGUCUGAAGUGCGUGGCUUUAAAUUAUAGUUUGAGUCCUGUGAACAUUUAAAUUCCUAACCCUAUUGUAUUCCCAGCCUGGGUUAGUCUUAGAACAGAAACAACAGACAUAUUUAUUCCAACACCACAAACCUAAUAGCUUCAGCCUCAAAUGCUAUAAGGAGCUAAUAGAUGUUAAUGCCUUUUUUUCUUCCUAAGAGUUUCAUCAAGAGGAAUCCAGGAAACUAAACAGUCAACUUUGCAAUGUUGUAAUGCCAUUCUUUCAUGGCAAAUACUAUAUGAAAUACCUUAAUGAAAUUAGGCUUUUGACAAGAGUUUUAUUUUUAUAUGCUCUUUGCUCUUGCUGGAGGAAAAACAACAAUAAAGUGGAAAUGAACGAAAUGAUCAUACUCAUGCACUUUCUCAUCGAACGAGAGGGCAGUCCACUGCUGUGCAGCGUAAGGUUCUCUGGAUCCAGCCGACUGCCAUGGCCAAGACAGUCCAGCAGGUGACCCACAGGAGUGAGAUGCAAUCAAGUGAAGAUGAAGUCAUACUGGAUUAGAGGGGCCUAAAUGCAAUGACAAGUGUCCUUUUACUGAGAGAGGAUUUGAAGACAGAGGAGAUACAGGAAGACAGCCCUGCAAAGACAAAAAACUAGGCUGAUGCAGGCAUAAGCCAUGGAAUACCAAAGAAUGCCGGCAGCCACUAGAAUCUCUGAGAGAGGCGUGGGACAGAUAUUGUCUUAGCAUCUGGAAAAAGGACCAACCCUGCUCGCAUUUUGAUUUCAGACAUCUUGCCUCCCAUAUGGCCUUCUGAAAAGUGUAACCUGAUGCUUUUCAUCAAUUUUGGAGAACUCUUGGACAAUAUGUGACUUUUGGACCCCACGGUUUCCAGGACAUCCAAGAGUGUGAACAGACAUUUGGAAGUUUUAGUUUCACCACCCACUGACCUCUAAGAAGAGGAGAUGGACCGGAGAUGAAGUUCAAUGGAAUGACUUGGUCAAUUAUGAAUAUGUAAUGAAACCUCUAUAAAAACCCAGGAAGAUAGCACUGCAGAUCUUUUAUUUUGGAGAGCUUUGUUGUUGGGAAACCAGAGCACUUCCACAUGCCAUGGCGUCCUGUCCCAAGCUCCACAAGAAUAAAAGCUCUUUGGCUUCAGAUAUCACCCCUGUAUCUCUUCAUUUGUCACUGGUAUAUAUUCUUUAAUAUCCUUUGUAAUAAAUUGAUAAUGUAGUGAGUAAGGAAAUUUUCCUGAGUUCUAGUGAUCCAUUCUAGCAAAUUUAUCGAACCCAAAAAGAGGGUCAUUAAAAUCUUCAAUCUGUUGCCAGUCAGUCAUAAACAUAGAGCCUGGGCUUGAAGCUGAUGUCG
This is a long non-coding RNA of Artibeus jamaicensis (Jamaican fruit-eating bat), 1554 nucleotides long. RefSeq lists it as uncharacterized. The transcript is spliced from 7 exons. NCBI's taxonomy places the organism in Eukaryota, Metazoa, Chordata, Mammalia, Chiroptera, Phyllostomidae. The record is from RefSeq and is a predicted model, not a curated record.